RNAcentral lists this non-coding RNA (106 nucleotides) under bovine gut metagenome. RNAcentral's name for it is "THF riboswitch". It matches the Rfam family "THF (Tetrahydrofolate) riboswitch aptamer". Rfam says of the family: THF riboswitch presents a pseudoknot that joins P1-P2 and the loop of P3 and two THF binding. The record is from RNAcentral.
CAGAGUAAGGCUUCAGGCGUGUGUCUUUUGGCACGGAGUGUCCUGCGGACGGGGAGUUGCCGCGGGAACGAACAGUAAAGGCGAUCUGGGGCUUGCAUCCCGCUGU